UACGUAGGUGGCGAGCGUUGUCCGGAAUUAUUGGGCGUAAAGGGAGCGCAGGUGGGAAAGUAAGUCUGCUUUAAAAGUUCGGGGCUCAACCCCGUGAUGGAGUUGAAACUACUUUUCUUGAGUGCAGGAGAGGAAAGCGGAACUCCUAGUGUAGCGGUGAAAUGCGUAGAUAUUAGGAGGAACACCAGUGGCGAAGGCGGCUUUCUGGACUGUAACUGACACUGAGGCUCGAAAGCCAGGGGAGCGAACGGG
This 252-nucleotide ribosomal RNA is filed under the name uncultured prokaryote. RNAcentral describes it as "partial 16S ribosomal RNA". It matches the Rfam family "Bacterial small subunit ribosomal RNA", at positions 524 to 776 of the family's 1533-position model. The record is from RNAcentral.